Molecule: ribosomal RNA, 466 nt
Filed under: uncultured bacterium
Lineage: Bacteria
Description: bacterial SSU rRNA
Rfam family: Bacterial small subunit ribosomal RNA
Source: RNAcentral
CCAGACUCCUACGGGAGGCAGCAGUGAGGAAUAUUGGUCAAUGGUCGGGAGACUGAACCAGCCAAGCCGCGUGAGGGAGGAAGGUACAGAGUAUCGUAAACCUCUUUUGUCAGGGAACAAAGACUGGGACGCGUCCCCGGAUGAGUGUACCUGAAGAAAAAGCAUCGGCUAACUCCGUGCCAGCAGCCGCGGUAAUACGGAGGAUGCGAGCGUUAUCCGGAUUUAUUGGGUUUAAAGGGUGCGUAGGCGGAGUGUCAAGUCAGCGGUAAAAUUUCGGGGCUCAACCCCGUCGUGCCGUUGAAACUGGCAGUCUCGUGUUGGAGAGAAGUAUGCGGAAUGCGCGGUGUAGCGGUGAAAUGCAUAGAUAUCGCGCAGAACUCCGAUUGCGAAGGCAGCAUGCCGGCUCCACACUGACGCUGAGGCACGAAAGCGUGGGUAUCGAACAGGAUUAGAUACCCGGGUACAU